UGACAGCCCAAGAUGCGGACAGCGAUGCCACGGUGCUGGGAACCAGCAGGGGACAGGGACGCGCCAACAGCAGCCCCAGGCAAGUGCAGCUGCGGACAUCCCCCAGCGCCGUCCGGGGCGUCAUCUACAGCGACCUCAACUUCUCGGUGAUCAUGGCGUGGACGGUCACAAUGGACCCCGAGCCCGAGCUGACCUGGACC
Molecule: long non-coding RNA, 200 nt
Filed under: Ictidomys tridecemlineatus (thirteen-lined ground squirrel)
Lineage: Eukaryota; Metazoa; Chordata; Mammalia; Rodentia; Sciuridae
Description: lncRNA (ENSSTOG00000031854.1)
Source: RNAcentral